Molecule: ribosomal RNA, 274 nt
Filed under: uncultured bacterium
Lineage: Bacteria
Description: partial 16S ribosomal RNA
Rfam family: Bacterial small subunit ribosomal RNA
Source: RNAcentral
AUACGAAGGUCCCAAGCGUUAUUCGGAAUCACUGGGCGUAAAGAGUACGUAGGCGGUUUGGUAAGUCAGGUGUGAAAUCCCGAAGCUCAACUUCGGAACUGCAUCCGAUACUGCCAGACUAGAGUAAUGGAGAGGCAGGUGGAAUUCUCGGUGUAGCAGUGAAAUGCGUGGAUAUCGAGAGGAAGAACAAUGGCGAAGGCAGCCUGCUGGACAUUUACUGACGCUGAGGUACGAAGGCUAGGGGAGCGAAAGGGAUUAGAAACCCCAGUAGUCC